RNAcentral lists this unclassified non-coding RNA (402 nucleotides) under soil metagenome. RNAcentral describes it as "partial contains 5.8S ribosomal RNA, internal transcribed spacer 2, and large subunit ribosomal RNA". The stretch from base 1 to 121 matches the Rfam family "5.8S ribosomal RNA", at positions 35 to 154 of the family's 154-position model. The record is from RNAcentral.
GAUGAAGAACGUAGCGAAAUGCGAUAAGUAAUGUGAAUUGCAGAAUUCAGUGAAUCAUCGAAUCUUUGAACGCACCUUGCGCCCUUUGGCUAUUCUGAAGGGCAUGCCUGUUUGAGUAUCGUGAACACCUCAACUCUCAUGGUCUGCCAUGAUGAGCUUGGACUUUGGGGGUCUUGCUGGCCUACUGUCAGCUCCUCUCAAAUGAAUCAGCUUACCAGUGUUUGGUGGCACCACAGGUGUGAUAACUAUCUACGCUUGUGGUUUUCUGCCAGGUAACCUCCAGUGAUGGAGGUUCGCUGGAGCUCACAAAUGUCUCUCCUCAGCGAGGACAGCUUUUUGAACGUUUGAUCUCAAAUCAGGUAGGACUACCCGCUGAACUUAAGCAUAUCAAUAAGCGGAGGA